AGCGGCGAACGGGUGAGUAACGCAUCGGAACGUAUCCUGUAGUGGGGAAUAACUCACCGAAAGGUGAGCUAAUACCGCAUAAGCUCUGAGGAGGAAAGCGGGGGACCGAAAGGCCUCGCGCUGCAGGAGCGGCCGAUGUCCGAUUAGCUAGUUGGUGAGGUAAAAGGCUCACCAAGGCGACGAUCGGUAGCUGGUCUGAGAGGAUGAUCAGCCACACUGGGACUGAGACACGGCCCAGACUCCUACGGGAGGCAGCAGUGGGGAAUUUUGGACAAUGGGGGAAACCCUGAUCCAGCCAUGCCGCGUGAGUGAAGAAGGCCUUCGGGUUGUAAAGCUCUUUCGGACGGAACGAAAUUGCUUGGACUAAUACUCUGAGUAGAUGACGGUACCGUAAGAAGAAGCACCGGCUAACUACGUGCCAGCAGCCGCGGUAAUACGUAGGGUGCGAGCGUUAAUCGGAAUUACUGGGCGUAAAGCGUGCGCAGGCGGUUGCCUAAGCCAGGCGUGAAAUCCCCGGGCUUAACCUG
Molecule: ribosomal RNA, 527 nt
Filed under: uncultured bacterium
Lineage: Bacteria
Description: bacterial SSU rRNA
Rfam family: Bacterial small subunit ribosomal RNA
Source: RNAcentral